AUACGGAGGGUGCAAGCGUUGUUCGGAAUCACUGGGCGUAAAGGGCGCGCAGGCGGUUUGGUAAGUCAGAUGUGAAAGCCCACGGCUCAACCGUGGAAGUGCAUUUGAAACUGCCAGACUUGAGUACCAGAGGGGAAAGUGGAAUUCCCGGUGUAGAGGUGAAAUUCGUAGAUAUCGGGAGGAAUACCGGUGGCGAAGGCGACUUUCUGGCUGGAUACUGACGCUGAGGCGCGAAAGCGUGGGGAGCAAACAGGAGUAGAAACCCUAGUAGUCC
Molecule: ribosomal RNA, 274 nt
Filed under: uncultured bacterium
Lineage: Bacteria
Description: partial 16S ribosomal RNA
Rfam family: Bacterial small subunit ribosomal RNA
Source: RNAcentral